RNAcentral lists this ribosomal RNA (336 nucleotides) under uncultured Acholeplasma sp. RNAcentral describes it as "bacterial SSU rRNA". It matches the Rfam family "Bacterial small subunit ribosomal RNA", at positions 1044 to 1382 of the family's 1533-position model. The record is from RNAcentral. Lineage: Bacteria; Bacillati; Mycoplasmatota; Mollicutes; Acholeplasmatales; Acholeplasmataceae.
CAUGGUUGUCGUCAGCUCGUGUCGUGAGAUGUUGGUUAAGUCCCGCAACGAGCGCAACCCUACUUGCUAGUUACCAUCAUUAAGUUGGGGACUCUAGCGAGACUGCCAGUGAUAAACUGGAGGAAGGUGGGGAUGACGUCAAAUCAUCAUGCCCCUUAUGACCUGGGCUACAAACGUGAUACAAUGGCUGGAACAAAGGGAUGCGAAGCAGUGAUGUGGAGCGAAACCCAUAAAAACAGUCUCAGUUCGGAUUGAAGUCUGCAACUCGACUUCAUGAAGUCGGAAUCGCUAGUAAUCGCGGAUCAGAACGCCGCGGUGAAUACGUUCUCGGGGUUU